Long non-coding RNA from Tripterygium wilfordii, 2539 nucleotides. RefSeq lists it as uncharacterized. The record is from RefSeq and is a predicted model, not a curated record. Lineage: Eukaryota; Viridiplantae; Streptophyta; Magnoliopsida; Celastrales; Celastraceae. The transcript has 2 exons.
UCCGCGUGUUUCUAUACUCGCGAAAGUGGUUUUGUUUCGUUCACUAACUGAUCACGCAGAGCAGUGCCGUUUCAUGCUGAUGUCGAGAGCCUUCUUCGCGAAGCGACAAAGAUGUAUCCUCACCUUGAUUCAUGUAUAUGGGUCGUUUUCAUAGAUUUCAAGUGCACUCUCUUCUCUCCUUCCCCAUCCCUAUGACUUCUCUAACUAUCGUUUCUCGGCCGAUCUUCAAACAAAAAUUCAGAGACAUAAGUAACUCUGAGCUUUUAGGUUAAUUUUAUAAUUCGUUUCGUUAUAUUUCGAUUUCUUUCUGAGGUUUUGGGAGAAAUCACUCACACGAUCGUCUCUUAUGGUUCAGAUCCUCUCUCUAUCUACUUCGUUUCUCUCUCUAGAGCUUUGAUUGCACCGCUCUCGCACACAUAAAUUAGAUCCAUUACCAAGACAUGGAUCUACUGGUUGUAAUGGAGAAAGGGCUGAGGACAUGGGCCAAUUGAGUUGACUCCAACACUAACUGCAACAGAACCGAAGUUUUCGUCCUCUCCAUCUCGCCUAAACCCGACAAGUAUGUCUUCCCUUGCAGAUAUGAUUGGCAUGCUCACUUUAUCUUGAUAUAGCCUACGAAAAAGUUACAAUUAUUAUUCUUACUGCUUCAUUUUUAAUUAAUUUUUGGUCUAAUUCAUGGGUUUCAAUUGUCAUUUGGUAUGUUAGUUUCAGAUAGAUAUCAAGGAGAAAUAAGCUAAUAGAAACUUCUAUUUUCAGCUGGUAAUGGUUUUGGUUUCAAUAUCAGUGUACAUCAUUCCUCCCUCAGUCAUUUUGUCACUAGGGCUUUUUGCUAUUAGUCAUUUUCUAUUGGGUUUUGUCACCAAAGAGAGUUAUAUCUUGAGUUCUCUUUUGGUUGAAGGUCUGAUUUAUUUGUAUAAUAUGUUCAGUUUGUAAGAGCUGACCUAAUAAAGAAAGGUAUGAAAUAUAAUUCUAGCAUUUCUGUUUUCGUAUUUGUACUUCUUUGAUCAUAACCUUUGUUUUGGUUAUUUGUCUUUAGAACUUGAGAAAAUUAUCAACUUUUGUACUAUACGUUUAGCCUAUUUUGGUUCUCAAUCUUUUGAAUAAUUGAACACCAAUGAUAUAACUUCAUAGUUGUUUAAAGCAACUAUCUCAUUUAUGUCUUAGUUGUCUUAUAUAAUUACAUGUGCUGUUUUGAAUGCAUUAUUUGGACAAACCUACUACUCUGUGCUGGUAAUUCUUAUGUGCCUGGUAAUUCUUAUUUGGAUUAUCAACUCUUGUGUGCUUUGCUUGUGAAUAAUCUCAAUUGGCCUAAUUUACUUGUGAAUGCCAAUGGUCUGGUAAUGCAAGCAUACAACUGAGAUUAUCUUUGUGGGUAUAGUAUCCAUCUUUUGUCUUUUGUUUGUCUUAUUUGCUUUUCAAAAUUUUAAAUUUUGUUCUAAAUUUAAGUCUCUUAAUGGCAAGAUUAGUUUUUUUUCCCUGUGGAACAUGCAAGGGAUAAAGAAGAAGGGAAACCAAAGAGUAGCAAAGCAGAAGAAAUGGAAUAGGGUAUUAUGAUUUUGUGUUUAGUUUGUUUAUUUGAUUAAUUCUGCUCUCUUAUAUGCUUCUCUUUUUGCCAAUAAUGAGUUAUGGGAUGCAUUUUUUAAUUUCAAAGUAAAUUCUUUCGUUUCUGGAUAUUUGGAAGAUUAAUAUGAGAAGAGAAAAUUGAGUCUAUUUACUGGUGCAUGCUUUUGGGUUUUUGUCAUAUUAGAGAGGAGAUGAAAUAAACUGCAAAACAUAUAUUUCAUUCUAUUUUCAGGAGUUGCUGUUAUCUGGAAAGAUUAUGGCCUUAUAUACAAUCAUUUGUUAGUUGAGGUUCUUGUGAUAUGUUUUCCACAAUUACUAAGCUUUGGUGAUUGUAUUUGGAAAUUAUAAAGCAUACAAAGUGGAUAGAGGAAGGUCUUCCUCCCAUUUCAGGGAUUUGGGGUUUGGAUGGGAAAGAUGAGUGAGUUUGGGAUGUCAUGACAUUUUCAUUAUUAUAUUUCUGAUGCGGAGUCAACUGGUAUGUCAAUUGGUAUGUCACACUGCUUAUCUGGGUAGAGCAUUGGAUCCACAUGAUGAUAACACUGUCGUUACAAGUUGUGAAUCCAUGAUCAACUUUUGUGAUCUUCAGACAAUGAGAUUUGUACCUUUAUAUUUUUGUACAACAGGUUUGUAUAUGGAAAACUAUUAUCCUACAUGCUUUAUUCUCUGUAAAUGUCUUCAUUUUAUAGUGUAAUAUUGUAGUUUUAGUUGAAAAGUUGUUAUCAAAUAGUUUUGUUGUUGUCGGAUGAAAUUAUUAAAAGAGGGAAAUGGUUUGGUUAGGAGUUAGGUGCAACUACAGUUUCUACUUUCUAUGUUUGAAUUUUUGUGAAGAUGUCUUUGCAUGCAGUCAUGACUUUAUGAUUCGAAUUGCCACAUGAACGAUUUUGGAAGAAAAAAAAUGCCAUGUAUUGCGCCACCAAUUCUGUUGAACAAGUUUGAUUUUCUGGAUUAUGAAACAAUGGAGGACAGGGUUUGAAGA